AGGGUUCAGCCACUCCGUCCUCCCUCCCCCGGCAGGUGCUCAAGGCCGGAAGUUACUGGGAAAGGGCCUCAGGCUGAGGCGAGAACUACAUCUCCCACAAUGCUCUGCUCGCACGGCUGCUUGUGGUGCAGGCAGCGCGGGGCCCGAUUUGAUUGCCACCACGGUGCAUAAUGGAGCCCUUAACCCCUUCUGAGCCUUCCCCACAAAACAGCUUGCCCACACCGCAGAAGAAGUACCAUGUCCUGGUGGGUGUUACUGGAAGUGUGGCUGCCCUGAAGUUGCCUAUUCUGGUCUCAAAACUGCUGGAGAUUCCUGGGCUGGAAGUGCAUGUCGUAACAACGGAGAGGGCAAAACAUUUCUACAACCCCCAGGAGAUUCCUGUAACCCUCUACAGUGAUACUGAUGAAUGGCAGCUGUGGAAAGGGCGUACAGACCCAGUCCUACAUAUUGACCUGCGGCGCUGGGCUGACCUCAUGCUGGUGGCUCCUCUUGAUGCGAAUACACUGGCAAAAAUAGCAAAUGGCAUCUGUGACAAUUUACUGACCUGUGUCAUCCGUGCGUGGGACCUGACCAAACCCCUGCUCUUCUGCCCUGCUAUGAACACAGCCAUGUGGGAGCAUCCUAUUACAGCUCAGCAGGUGGAGCAACUCAGAGGCUUUGGCUACGUAGAGAUCCCUUGUGUGGUGAAGAAGCUGGUGUGUGGGGACGAAGGUCGAGGUGCCAUGGCGGAAGUAUGGACCAUUGUGGAGAAGGUGAAGGCGAUCCUUUCAGAGCGGGACUUGCCAAAGCAGCUGAUUUCUUGAUGUAAAUCCCCCAUCCCACCCCCGUGACAGUUUAUCAGUGUGAGGAUGAGAGCAAAAGGGACCUGAGAUGGUCCAGCAUCAAGAGGAAUCAGAGAAGAGGAUGGUGUAAAAAUAUUAGUUAUGGGAAUGCUCCCAGCCUCACCCACUAGAAGUCACGAUAAUGAAUGUUCUAAAAGUACCGGCUCUGGAAAGCUCUUAAAACAGCUCCUCUAGUCUCCACCUUUCCUGCAGGACGCUUAUUAUCAAUAUUUCCCUAAGAAACCGUAAUGAGCAAAGGCUGCAAUUCAUUGUUUGAAGGUCGUUUGACUCAGUCAUGCAUGUUUUUGGUGCAUGAUACGUAUUUUCUGUAUUACUUGAAUGUUGUUUUUUACGAUCACAGGAGAAAAAAAAUCCAUUGAAAGAGCACAGAGGGCCUUGUGUUGACCUUUGCCCUUUUGUAUCCAUUGAUGUGUAGAAAUGCAGACGGCAAAUGUAAACCAAAAUGAACUUUCGGCUCUGCCUGGCAGAGUGUUGAAGGUCUUGACAUCAGCACAUUUGGCCACUCUAAAAAACCUGGGGAAGCUGUCUCGAAAAGACUUUGAUGCUCCUUUUGAAUUUGAAAAAUUAAAGAGUGACAAGAGGAAGAUGGGAAAACCUGACCAUGGACAUCAGGGGUUACACCUAGGAGAGCCCCACAGCUCCUCCUCCUUUGAAAUGUGAUCCUUUCACCCAAAAAGGAAGGAAGGGAGUGGAUGGGGGAGGGUGCUGCAGUCUGCAGAGCACAGGUUUUGUUUAUAGAUCCUAGAGUUUAUUUUUAACUAGUUACACACAAAUAUAAGGCCUUCUGUACAGAACCUACACCCUACGUAUUAGGCAACCUUUGAGCUCCUUAGCACAAGGGAAAGGUUAUCAUGGAGUGUUUGGUGUCCUUAUCGAUUCUAUACAAAUAAAAAGCUUCUGAACUUUC
RNA transcript from Pelodiscus sinensis (Chinese soft-shelled turtle), 1749 nucleotides. It is a transcript of the gene named phosphopantothenoylcysteine decarboxylase, with no coding region annotated. The record is from RefSeq and is a predicted model, not a curated record. Lineage: Eukaryota; Metazoa; Chordata; Testudines; Trionychidae.